UGUGAAGAAGCCCGGAUACUGCCCAGAGUUCUUCCUCAGGUGCCCUUUCAUCCUCUUACCCCUGUGCCGCCGCGACGGAGGGUGCAACGGGGACAAGAAGUGUUGCUUCUACAACUGCAGGCAUCAGUGUAUGGAGCCGUGGCUCAGCUUGGAGUGAGUUUGUAAUCAUGAGCCACUUUCCUCUCCACGUUUAACGUGUGAGGGAGAAACCUCUUCUUAACCAGACCUGAGAAGAUCCGUCGGACAGGCUCAGACUCGGCUCAGACUCGGAUUACUGAUCCCCAGUCCCUCCAAGCUCUCCUUACUUCCCAAGCUUCCUUCUAUCAGGAGUUAAAUGCUUAUUAACAUGCAAACAAC
This 357-nucleotide long non-coding RNA is filed under the name Ursus maritimus (polar bear). Its description in RNAcentral is "lncRNA (ENSUMAG00000025320.1)". The record is from RNAcentral. Lineage: Eukaryota; Metazoa; Chordata; Mammalia; Carnivora; Ursidae.